Molecule: unclassified non-coding RNA, 174 nt
Filed under: uncultured Hypomyces
Lineage: Eukaryota; Fungi; Ascomycota; Sordariomycetes; Hypocreales; Hypocreaceae
Description: sequence contains ITS1
Source: RNAcentral
CCGAGUUUACAACUCCCAAACCCCAUGUGAACCUUACCAACCUGUUGCUUCGGCGGGACUCGCCCCGGGCGCGGCCGCGAGGCCGGCCCCGGACCAAGGCGCCCGCCGGAGGACCCAAACUCUUUGUUUCUGCAAGCGGAUUCUUCUGAGUGGCUAUAAGCAACAAAUAAAUCA